GUUAUCGUUUAUUUGAUAGUACCUUACCACUUGGAUAACCGUGGUAAUUCUAGAGCUAAUACAUGCUAAAAACCCCGACUUCGGAAGGGGUGUGUUUAUUAGAUAAAAAACCAAUGCCCUUCGGGGCUCUUUGGUGAUUCAUGAUAACCUAACGGAUCGCAUGGCCUUGCGCCGGCGACGGUUCAUUCAAAUUUCUGCCCUAUCAACUUUCGAUGGUAAGGUAUUGGCUUACCAUGGUUUCAACGGGUAACGGGGAAUUAGGGUUCGAUUCCGGAGAGGGAGCCUGAGAAACGGCUACCACAUCCAAGGAAGGCAGCAGGCGCGCAAAUUACCCAAUCCCGACACGGGGAGGUAGUGACAAUAAAUACUGAUACAGGGCUCUUUUGGGUCUUGUAAUUGGAAUGAGUACAAUUUAAACCCCUUAACGAGGAACAAUUGGAGGGCAAGUCUGGUGCCAGCAGCCGCGGUAAUUCCAGCUCCAAUAGCGUAUAUUAAAGUUGUUGCAGUUAAAAAGCUCGUAGUUGAAACUUGGGUCUGGCUAGCGGGUCCGCCUCACCGCGUGCACUUGUCCGGCUGGACCUUUCCUUCUGGAGAACCUCAUGCCCUUCACUGGGUGUGUUGGGGAACCAGGACUUUUACUUUGAAAAAAUUAGAGUGUUCAAAGCAGGCCUUUGCUCGAAUACGUUAGCAUGGAAUAAUAGAAUAGGACGUGCGGUCCUAUUUUGUUGGUUUCUAGGAUCGCCGUAAUGAUUAAUAGGGAUAGUCGGGGGCAUCAGUAUUCAAUUGUCAGAGGUGAAAUUCUUGGAUUUAUUGAAGACUAACUACUGCGAAAGCAUUUGCCAAGGAUGUUUUCAUUAAUCAGUGAACGAAAGUUAGGGGAUCGAAGACGAUCAGAUACCGUCGUAGUCUUAACCGUAAACUAUGCCGACUAGGGAUCGGGCGA
Molecule: ribosomal RNA, 943 nt
Filed under: Xenostigmina zilleri
Lineage: Eukaryota; Fungi; Ascomycota; Dothideomycetes; Mycosphaerellales; Mycosphaerellaceae
Description: SSU rRNA
Rfam family: Eukaryotic small subunit ribosomal RNA
Source: RNAcentral